UUAAGUGAAUAAGGGCGCACGGUGGAUGCCUUGGCACUAGGAGCCGAUGAAGGACGGGACUAACACCGAUAUGCUUUGGGGAGCUGUAAGUAAGCUAUGAUCCAGAGAUUUCCGAAUGGGGGAACCCAAUAUCUUUUAUAGGAUAUUACUUUUCAGUGAAUACAUAGCUGAUUAGAGGUAGACGCAGAGAACUGAAACAUCUUAGUACCUGCAGGAAGAGAAAGAAAAUUCGAUUCCCUGAGUAGCGGCGAGCGAAACGGGAAGAGCCCAAACCAACAAGCUUGCUUGUUGGGGUUGUAGGACUCCGAUAUGGUAGUCUGUUAGUAUAGUUGAAGGAUUUGGAAAAUUCCGCUAAAGAGGGUGAAAGCCCCGUAGACGAAAUGCUGACAACACCUAGGAGGAUCCUGAGUACGGCGGAACACGAGAAAUUCCGUCGGAAUCCGCGGGGACCAUCCCGCAAGGCUAAAUACUCCCUAGUGACCGAUAGUGAACCAGUACCGUGAGGGAAAGGUGAAAAGCACCCCGGAAGGGGAGUGAAAUAGAUCCUGAAACCGUGUGCCUACAACAAGUCAAAGCUCGUUAAUGAGUGAUGGCGUGCCUUUUGUAGAAUGAACCGGCGAGUUACGAUUGCAUGCGAGGUUAAGUCGAAGAGACGGAGCCGCAGCGAAAGCGAGUCUGAAUAGGGCGAAUGAGUAUGUAGUCGUAGACCCGAAACCAUGUGAUCUACCCAUGUCCAGGUUGAAGGUGCGGUAAAACGCACUGGAGGACCGAACCCACGUACGUUGAAAAGUGCGGGGAUGAGGUGUGGGUAGCGGAGAAAUUCCAAACGAACUUGGAGAUAGCUGGUUCUCUCCGAAAUAGCUUUAGGGCUAGCCUCGGAAUUGAGAAUGAUGGAGGUAGAGCACUGUUUGGACUAGGGGCCCAUCUCGGGUUACCGAAUUCAGAUAAACUCCGAAUGCCAUUCAUUUAUAUCCGGGAGUCAGACUGCGAGUGAUAAGAUCCGUAGUCGAAAGGGAAACAGCCCAGACCACCAGCUAAGGUCCCAAAAUAUAUGUUAAGUGGAAAAGGAUGUGGGGUUGCACAGACAACUAGGAUGUUGGCUUAGAAGCAGCCACCAUUUAAAGAGUGCGUAAUAGCUCACUAGUCGAGUGACCCUGCGCCGAAAAUGUACCGGGGCUAAACAUAUUACCGAAGCUGUGGACUACACCAUUAGGUGUAGUGGUAGGAGAGCGUUCUAAGGGCGUUGAAGGUCGAUCGUGAGGACGGCUGGAGCGCUUAGAAGUGAGAAUGCCGGUAUGAGUAGCGAAAGACAGGUGAGAAUCCUGUCCACCGUAUGACUAAGGUUUCCUGGGGAAGGCUCGUCCGCCCAGGGUUAGUCGGGACCUAAGCCGAGGCCGAUAGGCGUAGGCGAUGGACAACAGGUUGAUAUUCCUGUACCAGUUGUUUUUGUUUGAGCAAUGGAGGGACGCAGUAGGCUAAGGAAUGCAUGCGAUUGGAAGUGCAUGUCCAAGCAAUGAGUCUUGAGUAGAGUUAAAUGCUUUACUCUUUAAGGACAAGUUGUGACGGGGAGCGAAAUAAUAGUAGCGAAGUUCCUGAUGUCACACUGCCAAGAAAAGCUUCUAGUGAGAAAACAACUGCCCGUACCGUAAACCGACACAGGUAGUCGAGGAGAGUAUCCUAAGGUGAGCGAGCGAACUCUCGUUAAGGAACUCGGCAAAAUGACCCCGUAACUUCGGGAGAAGGGGUGCUGACUUCGGUCAGCCGCAGUGAAUAGGCCCAAGCGACUGUUUAUCAAAAACACAGGUCUCUGCAAAAUCGUAAGAUGAAGUAUAGGGGCUGACGCCUGCCCGGUGCUGGAAGGUUAAGAGGAUGGGUUAGCUUCGGCGAAGCUCAGAAUUGAAGCCCCAGUAAACGGCGGCCGUAACUAUAACGGUCCUAAGGUAGCGAAAUUCCUUGUCGGG
RNAcentral lists this ribosomal RNA (1961 nucleotides) under Enterococcus faecalis TX0109. Its description in RNAcentral is "bacterial LSU rRNA". It matches the Rfam family "Bacterial large subunit ribosomal RNA", at positions 1 to 1976 of the family's 2925-position model. The record is from RNAcentral. Lineage: Bacteria; Bacillati; Bacillota; Bacilli; Lactobacillales; Enterococcaceae.